Molecule: ribosomal RNA, 955 nt
Filed under: uncultured Bacillota bacterium
Lineage: Bacteria; Bacillati; Bacillota
Description: bacterial SSU rRNA
Rfam family: Bacterial small subunit ribosomal RNA
Source: RNAcentral
GGGCUAUACUGCAGUCGAGCGAAUCGAUGGGAGCUUGCUCCCUGAGAUUAGCGGCGGACGGGUGAGUAACACGUGGGCAACCUGCCUAUAAGACUGGGAUAACUUCGGGAAACCGGAGCUAAUACCGGAUACGUUCUUUUCUCGCAUGAGAGAAGAUGGAAAGACGGUUUACGCUGUCACUUAUAGAUGGGCCCGCGGCGCAUUAGCUAGUUGGUGAGGUAAUGGCUCACCAAGGCGACGAUGCGUAGCCGACCUGAGAGGGUGAUCGGCCACACUGGGACUGAGACACGGCCCAGACUCCUACGGGAGGCAGCAGUAGGGAAUCUUCCGCAAUGGACGAAAGUCUGACGGAGCAACGCCGCGUGAACGAAGAAGGCCUUCGGGUCGUAAAGUUCUGUUGUUAGGGAAGAACAAGUACCAGAGUAACUGCUGGUACCUUGACGGUACCUAACCAGAAAGCCACGGCUAACUACGUGCCAGCAGCCGCGGUAAUACGUAGGUGGCAAGCGUUGUCCGGAAUUAUUGGGCGUAAAGCGCGCGCAGGUGGUUCCUUAAGUCUGAUGUGAAAGCCCACGGCUCAACCGUGGAGGGUCAUUGGAAACUGGGGAACUUGAGUGCAGAAGAGGAAAGUGGAAUUCCAAGUGUAGCGGUGAAAUGCGUAGAGAUUUGGAGGAACACCAGUGGCGAAGGCGACUUUCUGGUCUGUAACUGACACUGAGGCGCGAAAGCGUGGGGAGCAAACAGGAUUAGAUACCCUGGUAGUCCACGCCGUAAACGAUGAGUGCUAAGUGUUAGAGGGUUUCCGCCCUUUAGUGCUGCAGCUAACGCAUUAAGCACUCCGCCUGGGGAGUACGGCCGCAAGGCUGAACUCAAAGGAAUUGACGGGGGCCCGCACAAGCGGUGAGCAUGUGUUUAAUUCGAAGCAACGCGAGGACCUUACCAGGUCCUGACAUCU